GGAGAGGUGGCAGAGUGGUUUAAUGCAUCGGCCUUGAAAGCCGACGACGGGGCGACUCGUCCGAGAGUUCGAAUCUCUCCCUCUCCGCCA
This 90-nucleotide transfer RNA is filed under the name Bdellovibrionales bacterium. Its description in RNAcentral is "tRNA-Ser". It matches the Rfam family "tRNA". From Rfam's summary of the family: Transfer RNA (tRNA) molecules are approximately 80 nucleotides in length. Their secondary structure includes four short double-helical elements and three loops (D, anti-codon, and T loops). Further hydrogen bonds mediate the characteristic L-shaped molecular structure. tRNAs have two regions of fundamental functional importance: the anti-codon, which is responsible for specific mRNA codon recognition, and the 3' end, to which the tRNAs corresponding amino acid is attached (by aminoacyl-tRNA synthetases). tRNAs cope with the degeneracy of the genetic code in two manners: having more than one tRNA (with a specific anti-codon) for a particular amino acid; and 'wobble' base-pairing, i.e. permitting non-standard base-pairing at the 3rd anti-codon position. RNAcentral also lists the same sequence under 1 other name. The record is from RNAcentral. Lineage: Bacteria; Pseudomonadati; Bdellovibrionota; Bdellovibrionia; Bdellovibrionales.